This is a long non-coding RNA of Myiozetetes cayanensis, 150 nucleotides long. RefSeq lists it as uncharacterized. The transcript has 3 exons. Lineage: Eukaryota; Metazoa; Chordata; Aves; Passeriformes; Tyrannidae. The record is from RefSeq and is a predicted model, not a curated record.
CCUCCCUCCUCAUCUUUUUGUCAAGAAUAAAUGUAGAAGACUGCAGCACCCAUGACCAUGCAACUGCAAUGGAUUUAUCAUCUUAAAUCAAGGAAACUAGAAUGGACAAAUAAACAAACAAAAUCCUUGAAAUUUAAGGUAAAAUAAUUG